This is an unclassified non-coding RNA of Callithrix jacchus (white-tufted-ear marmoset), 263 nucleotides long. It matches the Rfam family "Metazoan signal recognition particle RNA". Rfam says of the family: The signal recognition particle (SRP) is a universally conserved ribonucleoprotein. It is involved in the co-translational targeting of proteins to membranes. NCBI's taxonomy places the organism in Eukaryota, Metazoa, Chordata, Mammalia, Primates, Cebidae. The record is from Ensembl.
GCCGGGCGCAGGAGUGUGUGCCUGAAGUCCCAGCUACUCAGGAGGCUGAGGUGGGAGGAUCGCUUGAGCCCAGGCGCUCUGGGCUGUAGUGUGCUAUGCCGAUUGGCUGUCCACACUAAGUCUGGCAUCAAUAUGGUGACCUCCCGGGAGCGGGGGACCAGAAAUGGAGCAGGUCAAAACUCCCGUGCUGAUCAGUAGUGGGAUGGCACCUGUGAAUAGCCACUGAACUCCAGCCUGGGCAACAUAGCAAGACCCUGUCUCUU